UCGUAAUUAUUGAUCUUCGCCAUGUAAU
RNAcentral lists this non-coding RNA (28 nucleotides) under Bombyx mori (domestic silkworm). Lineage: Eukaryota; Metazoa; Arthropoda; Insecta; Lepidoptera; Bombycidae. The record is from RNAcentral.